This 466-nucleotide ribosomal RNA is filed under the name uncultured bacterium. Its description in RNAcentral is "partial 16S ribosomal RNA". It matches the Rfam family "Bacterial small subunit ribosomal RNA", at positions 28 to 507 of the family's 1533-position model. The record is from RNAcentral.
GAUGAACGCUGGCGGCGUGCUUAAUACAUGCAAGUCGAACGAUGAAGCCCAGCUUGCUGGGUGGUUUAGUGGCGAACGGGCGAGUAACACGUGCGUAAAUUGCCUUCAUCUCUGGGAUAAGCCUGGGCAACUGGGCCUAACACCGGAUAGGUGCGUCCACCGCACGGUGGGUGUUGGAAUGAUUUAUCGUUUUUGGAUGGACUCGCGGCCUAUCAGCUUGUUGGUGAGGUAAUGGCUAACUAAGGCGACGGCUGGUAGCCGGCAUGGGAAGGUGACCGGCGUCCCUGGGACUGAGAGACGGCGCAGACUCCAACGGGCGGCAGCAGGGGGGAAUAUUGCGCAGCGGGGGCAAGCCAGAGGCAAAGAUGCUGCGUGAGUGAUGCCGGCCUUCGGGUUGUGAACAUCUUUCAGUGUGAAAAAGGAGAAAGUGACGGUACCUACAGAGGAAGCACCGGCUAACUACGUG